This 255-nucleotide ribosomal RNA is filed under the name uncultured prokaryote. RNAcentral's name for it is "partial 16S ribosomal RNA". It matches the Rfam family "Bacterial small subunit ribosomal RNA", at positions 522 to 776 of the family's 1533-position model. The record is from RNAcentral.
AAUACAGAGGUCCCGAGCGUUGUUCGGAUUUACUGGGCGUAAAGGGUGCGUAGGUGGCCGGGAAAGUCUGGUGUGAAAUCUCUGAGCUUAACUCAGAAACGGCACUGGAAACUCUCUGGCUUGAGGAUCGGAAGGGAGACUGGAAUUCUCGGUGUAGCAGUGAAAUGCGUAGAUAUCGAGAGGAACACCAGUGGCGAAGGCGAGUCUCUGGACGAGGCCUGACACUGAGGCACGAAAGCUAGGGGAGCAAACAGG